This 269-nucleotide long non-coding RNA is filed under the name Rattus norvegicus (Norway rat). RNAcentral describes it as "long non-coding RNA NONRATT017349". The record is from RNAcentral. Lineage: Eukaryota; Metazoa; Chordata; Mammalia; Rodentia; Muridae.
CAGCCUCGCGUCCCCGGGCGCCGCCCCCGUGUCCCGCCCGCGCCACGCUCCGCCCCGGUCGCCGCUCGUCCCGCGUGGGAGCCGACCUGGCUCAGCCUGAUUUACGGCUCUGCUGAAAACCGCUCGCGCGGCUCCCGCAGCAUCAGCACCGGCGGCUGCAGCGGCAGCAACAAGUCGGAGAAGUUGUCACAUUCAACCAUUUCCUGGAAGCGGCGGCCGAGAAGGAGGUUCAAGGAAAAGCAAGGCUCCAGGACUUUAUUGAGAACCUG